This 2358-nucleotide long non-coding RNA is filed under the name Equus asinus (donkey). RNAcentral describes it as "lncRNA (ENSEASG00005026247.1)". The record is from RNAcentral. Lineage: Eukaryota; Metazoa; Chordata; Mammalia; Perissodactyla; Equidae.
AACAAAUCAAACACUGAUCAUGCCUUUCCUCUGCAAACAAUGCUUCAAGUUAACAAAUACUGUGGAAAAAUUCUUUACAGUAGAACUAUCAUUCAGAAGACAUAAGAAAAUUAAGAAAGUCAACAUUUUGCAAUCUUUCAGGAAAUAAUAGAUCUGGUCAAAAAUCAUCAGUGGCUGCUAAAACUACUAGGUAAAAGUUGAUGGGGAACUUUAUGAUAGAUAGAUUAGACUGGCAUUCCUUGAACCCAUUGAUUAAGCUUCCCAUCAUUCAAAGUGGAGCAACCAGGUCUGAUGCCUCUUAUUCUAACACUGCACCAUCCAUAAAAUAUUAUUGCAAAGAAAAAGUUUUUUAAAACAAAAUAUGAUGUUAAGUAAGCCUCUAGGCCUAACUACCAGUUUAAUGGAAAGCAUUUAAAGAGCCACACAUUAAACAACACUACGAUGUGACACACUGUUUUCUGUUUUUGUUUUUUUGUUGAACAGCUUUACUGAGGUAUAAUUGAUACACAAAAAACCCUGCGAAUAUUUAAUGUAUAUAAUUUGACUAGUUUGGACAUAUGCAUACACCUGCGAACCCAUCACUGCAAUCAAGGUGAUAAACAUAUCCAUCACCUCCGAAAGUCUCCUCAUACCCCUUUGUUUGUUUUUGAUUCACCCUGAGCUAACGUCUGUGCCACUCCUUCUCCACUUUGCAUGUGGGACACUGCCACAGCAUGGCUGAUGAGCGGAGUUUGUCCACAGCCAGGAUCCAAACCCAAGAACCCUGGUCGCCGAAGCAGAGUGCAUGGAACUGUAACCAUUCAGCCACAGGCCUGGCCCCUGAUAUAAUCUUUUGACAAAGUCACACACAGCUAAAUAACACACUUGUCUCAGCCAUAAUCUCAGAGUUCCAGCAACCUCUUUGAAUUACCAAUUAUAUUCAUUAUGUGACAUGUAAUUUAAUAAAUAGAGACUCUCUCUUUAGUAUUCGUUAUCUUGUUCAUAGUGCUACUCUCUCAGAUUAUGCUUUUAUUUAAAUAAUACCAAUUAAACUUUUAAAAAUUCAGUACUGUGAUAAAUUUUAAACAAUCCAUAUAAUAAUACAAAUUAAUAAGCCAAUAUUAAAAUGUAUCCCCAUUGUUAUCUAAAUUGUUUCAAAUUUUUAUAAAUUCAGUAUCUCUAUUAUUGACUGAGUCAUGAAAUAAUUUAUUGAAAUAUUUAAUAAGCUUAAUUUUUUUGUUUUCUCCCACUUCAGUGAACAUAGUUUAGCAAAUUUAUUUGGACAAUUUUCAGGAUUCAAUAAAUUAUAAAGUUUUGUUCUUCAGUUAUCAAAACAACAAUUGCAUUUCAUAUAGUUAGUGGACACUCUGCUAAUGUCUAUUAAAAUGAUAUUUUAUUUUGCUUUAUUUUAAAUAAUAGGAUUUUUUUUACAUUACUAUGAUAUCACUUGCUUCACUUUCACAUUUUCCUUUACUUAAUUUUAUAUGUUCAGCCAUUUCUACAUUUGUUUAUUGCUGUCAGCUUUGGUAGCUGGGUAUAUUUUUGUUGUAAAGCUAAAGACUCUAUUGAAUCUCUAUUAGACUAUCAGUUACUGAAGCCAAGUCUCUAUAAAUAUUUCAUUUUACAAUUAUUUAAAUACCCCAUUUCACAAUUUUUAUUAAAUGCCUAGACAAGGUUUUUAUAGUGUUGGCAUCAAACACUGUCUGUUGAAGUCGAAAUAUUCUUCCAAUUUCCAUUAUUUUACUCUAAGAUCUUAGGAUACAUUUUGAUUUGACUUGAUAAGACACAAUUUGAUCCUCACUAAAAUUUGUUUGAUGUAUGGAAGUAAAUAAAAGUUUAUCAAGAAAAUAUUUAAAGUGAUGUCCAUCAUCUGGGGAUAAUUGAGUACAAGGACCGACACAGUGCUGAAUUAAAACAUCUGGACUUUUUUCUAGAGUUUUUCCUGGAACUCUCAACUUUCUCCCAGCAUUCCUCUAACAUCAUCUGUAUAAAAUUCAAAGAGAUUUUCAUCUAUCUCAUCAAAACUAUUUUUCAAGAAAUAAUAAAAUUAGAUGUUAUGUUAGCUGUUGUUCUUUCUAGCUCUGAGAUCAACAAAAGUACUAAACUAUAUGUUAAAUCAUAAACUUCAGAUUUUAAGUAAAUUUUUAAAACAUUUUUAUGUGAGACAGUUGAAGCUUCAUUAAUAAUUUAAAAUUUUGAAAUUCAAUUGCCUUGAUCUAUGUUUUCUGAAAAAUGUUACCUCAUUUCUGUUUUAUACCCGGAGGGACCAUAAAUCUAGACUGCGAUCUUAUACUCAUUUUGAUACUAUUUGUUUCUUGAAGGUCUAUUAAAUCAUUUAUGUCUGAAAAUGCUUGAUUGUUUCUAACUACGGUAUUAAAA